UUAAUAAGAAGCAAUUUUUGCAUUUAGUUUCGACCUAAAAGUUUGAUAUUUAGUUAUCCUUAUUU
RNAcentral lists this transfer RNA (65 nucleotides) under Callimerus sp. RNAcentral's name for it is "tRNA-Arg". Lineage: Eukaryota; Metazoa; Arthropoda; Insecta; Coleoptera; Cleridae. The record is from RNAcentral.